This 1359-nucleotide ribosomal RNA is filed under the name uncultured bacterium. RNAcentral's name for it is "bacterial SSU rRNA". It matches the Rfam family "Bacterial small subunit ribosomal RNA", at positions 28 to 1381 of the family's 1533-position model. The record is from RNAcentral.
GAUGAACGCUAGCUACAGGCUUAACACAUGCAAGUCGAGGGGCAGCAUUUCAGUUUGCUUGCAAACUGGAGAUGGCGACCGGCGCACGGGUGAGUAACACGUAUCCAACCUGCCGAUAACUCGGGGAUAGCCUUUCGAAAGAAAGAUUAAUACCCGAUGGUAUAAUCAGACCGCAUGGUCUUGUUAUUAAAGAAUUUCGGUUAUCGAUGGGGAUGCGUUCCAUUAGGCAGUUGGUGAGGUAACGGCUCACCAAACCUUCGAUGGAUAGGGGUUCUGAGAGGAAGGUCCCCCACAUUGGAACUGAGACACGGUCCAAACUCCUACGGGAGGCAGCAGUGAGGAAUAUUGGUCAAUGGGCGCAGGCCUGAACCAGCCAAGUAGCGUGAAGGAUGACUGCCCUAUGGGUUGUAAACUUCUUUUAUAUGGGAAUAAAGUUUUCCACGUGUGGAAUUUUGUAUGUACCAUAUGAAUAAGGAUCGGCUAACUCCGUGCCAGCAGCCGCGGUAAUACGGAGGAUCCGAGCGUUAUCCGGAUUUAUUGGGUUUAAAGGGAGCGUAGGUGGACAGUUAAGUCAGUUGUGAAAGUUUGCGGCUCAACCGUAAAAUUGCAGUUGAUACUGGCUGUCUUGAGUACAGUAGAGGUGGGCGGAAUUCGUGGUGUAGCGGUGAAAUGCUUAGAUAUCACGAAGAACUCCGAUUGCGAAGGCAGCUCACUGGACUGCAACUGACACUGAUGCUCGAAAGUGUGGGUAUCAAACAGGAUUAGAUACCCUGGUAGUCCACACAGUAAACGAUGAAUACUCGCUGUUUGCGAUAUACAGUAAGCGGCCAAGCGAAAGCAUUAAGUAUUCCACCUGGGGAGUACGCCGGCAACGGUGAAACUCAAAGGAAUUGACGGGGGCCCGCACAAGCGGAGGAACAUGUGGUUUAAUUCGAUGAUACGCGAGGAACCUUACCCGGGCUUAAAUUGCAUUUGAAUAUAUUGGAAACAGUAUAGCCGUAAGGCAAAUGUGAAGGUGCUGCAUGGUUGUCGUCAGCUCGUGCCGUGAGGUGUCGGCUUAAGUGCCAUAACGAGCGCAACCCUUAUCUUUAGUUACUAACAGGUCAUGCUGAGGACUCUAGAGAGACUGCCGUCGUAAGAUGUGAGGAAGGUGGGGAUGACGUCAAAUCAGCACGGCCCUUACGUCCGGGGCUACACACGUGUUACAAUGGGGGGUACAGAAGGCAGCUACCUGGUGACAGGAUGCUAAUCCCAAAAGCCUCUCUCAGUUCGGAUCGAAGUCUGCAACCCGACUUCGUGAAGCUGGAUUCGCUAAUAAUCGCGCAUCAGCCAUGGCGCGGUGAAUACGUUCCCGGGCCU